This 100-nucleotide ribosomal RNA is filed under the name Cronobacter sakazakii. RNAcentral describes it as "partial 16S ribosomal RNA". It matches the Rfam family "Bacterial small subunit ribosomal RNA", at positions 1 to 94 of the family's 1533-position model. Lineage: Bacteria; Pseudomonadati; Pseudomonadota; Gammaproteobacteria; Enterobacterales; Enterobacteriaceae. The record is from RNAcentral.
UUUAAUUGAAGAGUUUGAUCAUGGCUCAGAUUGAACGCUGGCGGCAGGCCUAACACAUGCAAGUCGAACGGUAACAGGGAGCAGCUUGCUGCUCUGCUGA